AUUGAACGCUGGCGGCAUGCCUUACACAUGCAAGUCGAACUGCAGCACGGGGGCAACCCUGGUGGCGAGUGGCGAACGGGUGAGUAAUACAUCGGAAUGUACCCAGUAGUGGGGGAUAACUAGUCGAAAGAUUAGCUAAUACCGCAUACGCACUAUGGUGGAAAGCGGGGGAUCGCAAGACCUCGCGCUAUUGGAGCAGCCGAUGUCCGAUUAGGUAGUUGGUGGGGUAAAGGCCUACCAAGCCUGCGAUCGGUAACUGGUCUGAGAGGACGACCAGUCACACUGGGACUGAGACACGGCCCAGACUCCUACGGGAGGCAGCAGUGGGGAAUUUUGGACAAUGGGGGAAACCCUGAUCCAGCAAUGCCGCGUGUGUGACGAAGGCCUUCGGGUUGUAAAGCACUUUUGGCGGGAACGAAACGGCGCUUUCUAAUACAGAGCGCUAAUGACGGUACCCGCAGAAUAAGCACCGGCUAACUACGUG
This 484-nucleotide ribosomal RNA is filed under the name uncultured bacterium. Its description in RNAcentral is "bacterial SSU rRNA". It matches the Rfam family "Bacterial small subunit ribosomal RNA", at positions 30 to 507 of the family's 1533-position model. The record is from RNAcentral.